Ciona savignyi (Pacific transparent sea squirt) is the source of this 82-nucleotide non-coding RNA. Lineage: Eukaryota; Metazoa; Chordata; Ascidiacea; Phlebobranchia; Cionidae. The record is from Rfam.
GGUAGCGUGGCCGAGCGGUCUAAGGCGCUGGUUUUAGGCACUAGUCAUUUCGAUGGCGUGGGUUCGAAUCCCACCGCUGCCA